Long non-coding RNA from Acinonyx jubatus (cheetah), 4418 nucleotides. RefSeq lists it as uncharacterized. The transcript has 12 exons. NCBI's taxonomy places the organism in Eukaryota, Metazoa, Chordata, Mammalia, Carnivora, Felidae. The record is from RefSeq and is a predicted model, not a curated record.
ACAACUUCCUCCUUCCUCUGCAAAACCGGUGUUUUCUCUUUUGUUCCUGGCACUCACUUGACUGUGGUUUUGCUGCAGCUGGCCUGCUCUGGAUUACAAUUCUGUUAUUCUCUAGACUGCUGCUUGGAAGCACCGGGUAUUUUUCCACUAGAGAAGUGCUUAGUGGCUGUGGUGAUAAAAACUCCUCCUUGAAGAUGACUCAGCUGCUCUGGUCUUCUGCCAAAGUCUUGUUCAAGAGGGAGUUGAAGGAGGCUCCAGACGGGGAGGAUGGAACACCUACAGCAGGCAAGAAACGUACAGUGUAUGCAGUAAGCCAGAGGAGAAGACCCUCUUAGGCAUUCAGAAGAAGGAGAGAGAAAGAGAGACUCCCAGAUUCAGGAUAAGUUCUGGGUGCUGGAGUACAGCAGAGGCCAGUGCAGUCAAGACCAGUGUCCCCAUGAAAUUCACUUUCUAGUUGGAGACACAUCCAAAACAGAAGACGCCUGGGGUUUUGAAUACAUGAACAUGUGACCACACACCUAAGUGUGAUCCUUAGCAACCACCACAAAUCAAACAGGAGUGAUGCCGUGUUUGGACCAGAUCUGAUUUCAUAGAGAUCAUCAAUAAAAUCGGGUUCCAAGUCUUCCCAAACUGGAGCAGAUUAUAAUGAUACGUGGAGGGAGUUGCCCAGUGGUACCAGACAGCUCAAGAAGUUUCAGGGCUGAGUGGCAGUGAGGAUGAUGAGCAGUGGACAUGUUCUGGGACAUAAGAUGAGCACCGCCUGGUGACUGAUCAGAACUGAAAAAGUUCGUUGUUGACAAGCACUGGCCACGCAAUGGGCAUGAAGACAAGGGAGAGGAGGUAUGAAGAACUAAGGACAACUCUGCAUUCAAUUUGCCACAUGCAUUAACUUAUGUAAGUCAGUGCCUGCAUGGAGGGGAAAGGGUGUCCACACUCCAGUCCCCUAUUACGCAUAUCUGGGUCAUCUGUUGCAAAUUUCCGGAAGAUUGACUGUUGACCGUAAGAGUUACUUAUGUCCUUUCUAAGGAUUGAAAAAUUAAGUUUCCAGCUACUUGAAUGCAGCGUCCCUGUCUCACCUCCACCAUCAUCUCCGAGAACCCCACCCUGCAGAGAUCUCAUUUGGAAUAGUGUGAGUUGAGAGCAGUCUACCACUCAAAAGUUCGCUUUGAUAAUAAAGCUGUCCCCUUAUUUGCCAGUGAUGUCUUAAAGUUGCAAGUUCCAUUUCCACAGCCCAGCCAUAAACAAAUAUAUCGGUUUUAAAUGGAUUCUUCACACUCUGGCAGCUUGAUCACCACUUUCCAUACCCACAAUUGAUAGAAAAAGAUGAAAGAUAAGGGAACAAAGGGUGAAAAUGUAACAGCUAGAGAGAGCGCUCCAGGGUGGUUAAAAAGCUGCCUAGUGGCUACAGGAAGACACUAAGGCAGCAGCCCCGACACCAGGGUCAUGCCAGAGGGGACCCUCCAGGGCUGCCAAGCCCCUGAGGCUCUUACUCAUGCUUGAAGGUGAGCCUUUUGAAGAGCUACUUGCCCAACCCAGCCUGCAGAGGUGAGUCAGGUGGUCACCAUCUCCUUGAUGAGUUUCACUUCCUCAUCCAGAAAGCACUUCUCCCGGAAGCUACAGAACCCGAGGCAUGCAGCUCCCAAAGCGCCUGUUUCAGGUUCUCUAGGAUCAUGGCAACUUUCUUGGCCUCAAGGUUUUACCCCACUCAUCUUGAAACAGCUUCUGCAAGUCCUCGAAGAGGGCACUGGUUUCUUCAAAAGAUGCCAGGUGCCCUUAAGGUUCUCCUCAGCCAACUCUUGGAAUGAGUGUCCCAUGCCCUCCGGAGCCACAUCCUCGAGGUGAAAAGAGAAGCCCAGAGAAAGAGGAAUUCCAGUAUUUUAUACCUGAAAGGGAGCUGAGACAUCACCAUCUCCAGCAUCAGUGACUUUUAUAAGAAGAAACGGAGACCAGACACAAAAAGAAUAAUACAAGUAACUGACUCAUAACAUCAUUGUGAAUAUCAAAUAAAUUAAUGGCUAAGUGAAGAAAAUUCUAAGUAGAAUAUGCCUGGGACUCCAUUACUUCUCACUUCUAUAUCAGUCAGACUCCUAGGUUGCAAUAGAAAUAAUCCUGCUGACUUGAGUAAAAUAAAAUUUAUGAGGGGACCAGCAAUACUGCAAAAACAGGCUUCGAAAACAAGUCCACAACAAGCAACCUCUGGAGGGCCAGCCAUCAGGAACCAGAACAGUUCUUCCAGCAGGAACAGGUCCAUUCAUGGAUCCCCAGGCCACUACUGCUGCUGAGGUGAUGAUUUCCUCCAAAUGCCACCACACCACACCCUACAGCCCUUACUCAAAUGCCAAGCACUACAGGAGACUGCUCAAUUGCCUGCCCCUGAACUUUCCAGAAUGACAAGAAAGAGAAUUUGGACCCAUUUGCUUUCUGGUUCCCAAGAAUGCACACAGUGGCACAUUUCUAAGAGGAUAAAAAGUUUUGAUAGUCAUGGCACCUUGCCAUGGUUGGCUGCUGAACAAUAAAAAAAAAAAAGAUGAUAUCCAUUGUGUGAUCUAUCCCCCCAGUCAGCCAGCCAGCCACUCACCCACCCACUCAUCCACCUACCCAUUGAUCCAUCCAUCUCUCAAUCUAUUCAGUUAGCCAUCUAUCCACCCAUGCAAAGAUACAUACAUAUCUGACAAACACACAUCACCACAUUUCUCUCACGUUUUUUAUAUCCAAAUACCCGUAAAAAAUGAGUCUUUCAGAGGAAGCUUUUAUGGACCUAAUUCACCCCAAAGCUUAUGUCUCCCUGAGCAGUAGAUGAAAAAUAUUGCAGCCUGAAAAGAAUUGACUUGAAAGAAUUAGGGCCCCUGCCUAAAUGCCUUACAUAGUAUAAAAGAGUGACUCCAGCCCCAGGGUGAAUGGAGUCUUAUGUUUCAUAAGGCAAGAUAUUUAUUAUAAUGACAGGGCAAAAUGGCCGUGGUCAAAUCUUAAAUCCAGGAUGCAUCUAAAGCAAGAAUGUCACUUUCCAAUUCAAAUCCAAAAUGUACAUUAAAGGCAAAGAGUGUGUAUGAAUUCUGUUUAAAAGUCUCUUUACAGAAAUGGAUUAGGGUUGUCAUUGAUACCAAGCUUCUAUUCUACCUGAGAUCUAUUCAUGCUUUGAGCAGAGUUUAAGGCUUUCUUCUGGAGCUAAUAACCUCAUUUAAUCUGUAAUUUCUAUGUGAGAAUUGGCGCACCCAAAAUAAAAGAACAAAUUACUAGAUUAUUUUUUCAAUGAAAUUCUAAAUCAGCCUUUGGGAUUUCCAACUAUGAAAGCCCCCACAAAAUGCUCUGUAUUUUCAUGGAGUUAAUAGUCUUGGCAUUUUAAUGCAUGUUUUUGAGGAAUUAAAAUUCAGUCACCAAAACGUACUGUAAUGCAGUUAUAAUAAACACCUUCUUGUGUCUGCCUCCCACUCUUUAACAGUUGGGUACAAGGCACCAUGCUAAGAUAUUUACACAGAUCAGUUCAUUUAAUCUUCCCAAUAGCCUGUGAUGUAGGCUUUAUUGUUUCCAUUUUAUAUAUGGGGAAAUUGAGACAUGCAACAUCAAAGAGCUUUUCCAACUUCACAUAUAUAGAGAUGGUGAAAGUAGAAAUCAGAUUCCGGAGUCCAGUUCUAGAACCCAUGUUCAACCGCUAGCCUUGCACAUCCAUUUACCUGUAUCUCAUUCAGGUUGGCUCAUGCUUGGUAUAUGUGACCCUGCCAUCUUGGGUACUAUUAUUAUGGCUAGAUACCUUAUCCAAGAAGGACUAACAGAGGUAGUUCUGGAAACAUAGAAUUGAGAUUUUAGAUACCGCUGUUUAGUCUAUGUUAACUUCAAAACAAUGAAAGAAAUAUAGUCUGAGAAGUUUUGGAUGGACAUAUUCUCCAUAUGAUGUGGGACUGAGUAGCAGGAAAAGUUGGAUGGCAGAGGGAAGAAGAAUUAAAAGUGCGUGCCAAGAGAAGUUUUGCAUAUUUUUCAAACCAUUUUUGAAUUUGUUUAAAUAACGUUUGGUGAAACAGGGAUUUAAUGGCAACCUCAAUAGUAACAGCAAUGUUGGAGACAUACAUCCCCUCCCACUUCUUUAUAAAUACAAUUAUUUCAGUACUUAAGAAAACCUGUAGAAUCUGAAAAAUAAGACAAUACUACUGGAAUAUGUACCUGUUAUUGCUUCACUACUGUGCUUGUAAUUGACCUUUUUUCGCACUUUAUUUCACCGGUGUUAGCAGUCCCAAAGGCAUCUUAUUUGCAGGUUUUUCUGAAUAAAGCACUGGUACUUAACAUUGUUUAUUCUGAGGGUCCCCUCUUAAAACUAAACUGCCUUUUGCUUUAUUAUAGAACUUUGUAAAUAUCCUCCUAAUCUUUAUAAAUUAUGUUUAAAUAUUAUAAAGAUAUAUAUUGUUAUGUUAUUUAUAUAUUGUUAA